Molecule: long non-coding RNA, 891 nt
Organism: Megalobrama amblycephala (Wuchang bream)
Lineage: Eukaryota; Metazoa; Chordata; Actinopteri; Cypriniformes; Xenocyprididae
Exons: 4
Source: RefSeq, a predicted model, not a curated record
CUGCAGCGUACUGGAAGCAUGCAGCUAAGAAAGAACAGGCGCUGCUGCAGAGAGCAGAAACACGGAUUACUGAUCCAGAUAGGCGAGAUAGUGGAGCGCCGAUUGAGUACACGCCCAGAAGAAAAUCAGAAAAAGACUCGACGUCACAGGUGGUGCCAAUUCCAUUAAAGCCUCCGACAGCAAACAACUGACCAUUAACUACCUGGAUUUUGAGGAAGGAAUUAAGAGUCUCCAGCAGAAGAGUGUGGAGUCAUGGUUCCCUGUGCUGUUUGUUUCUCAUUGGAAAGCAGACGACACGCAGCCCAUUGCAUUCUCCUCGCUUCCAAGGCCUGCCAUUCACCAUCUUCUACCCACGAUUCUGACUAUUUUGCUUAAAUAUUUCUCUGUUUCUAAAUAAACUACAGGAUCCUGAGUUAUUUUCUGACAAAAUGUAAAAAGUUUCUGGCUUAACUGCCUGGUAAAACAUUUACAACUGAUCCUUAGAUCCCUCUGCAUUUGUGUGAGUCUAUUUUACAUGCUUGACGGUUUAGAGUUUAACCCUUUCAUUUCAAUUCUGCCUGCAUUACAGGAUAAGAAAUCUCUUAGUGUUUUUCUCUAUUUGAAUGAAAAAAAUAAUGGCAUAGAACCAGUUCAUUAAUAGUGCACUUAAAACAUAGUUUUAUAUAAUUAGUUUAAAUUUAGGUUAAUAAAAAUGUAAAACAUAAUUUAAGAUAAAUACAUCUGGUAUUUGGUACAUUCUUGCUAGUUUAGAUUUUAACCCUUUCAUUGCUGUCUGCAGUUGCCUACAUUACAGGAUAAGAAAUAUCUUAGGCCUUAUCUUUUAAUAUCAGUUCGAAUAACAAAAUAAAUGCAUAUAACCAGUUCAUUUAUAGUUCCUUUGACAAUAUAGUU